RNAcentral lists this long non-coding RNA (564 nucleotides) under Helianthus annuus (common sunflower). The record is from RNAcentral. Lineage: Eukaryota; Viridiplantae; Streptophyta; Magnoliopsida; Asterales; Asteraceae.
CAUCAGAUUUAGACACCAAACCACAAGUAAAUCACCAAAUGUCCAUCUAGAGAGAGAAAGUGAUAGAGAGAGACGGAGUCCGUAGCAGCCCGUGUCUUCACUCCGUCGUCUCUGGCAGACGGUGGUGGUACUAAUUUCGCCGCCUUCCCAUCUUGCUGGUCAGUAGGUGGUGGAUGGUGGCGCCGCCGCCUCUGUCGGACGGUGGCGGUCCUGAAUCCGCCGCCUUCGCCAUGCUGCCAGGCGAUCGUUGGUGGCGGUUUCACAUGAGGGUUCCGGUGGUGUAUCGAUGGUGCUUUUGAUUUACUCAGCAAUAGGAACAAUGACCCACAUCUUUGGGAAACUACCUUAGACUAAUUUCCAAAGAGAGCUGCUCAUGGGGAGAAAUAUGCGCUCGCACUGCCACUGCCGCAUAAGCGUACCGUCAGUCUAACUCAGAUAAUGUUAAGCUUAGGUUGUUUAUAAAUGCAGUUUUGGCAUAGUUAUUGUUACAGUAUGGCGCCGUUUGUGGUGUUUACAAGUCAUAUAGUGGCAUGUGUUUUGAAUUGUAUUCUAAAACUUUUCCAG